CUCCCUCGUUGCUGACCCCAGGUUCGAUAGUGCCAAUGAGGCACCACCUCGCCAAGAACCAACUUCGAUGAAGCGACGGGCGGUGUGUG
RNAcentral lists this ribosomal RNA (89 nucleotides) under uncultured archaeon. RNAcentral's name for it is "partial 16S ribosomal RNA". The record is from RNAcentral.